Molecule: ribosomal RNA, 967 nt
Filed under: Gymnothorax flavimarginatus (yellow-edged moray)
Lineage: Eukaryota; Metazoa; Chordata; Actinopteri; Anguilliformes; Muraenidae
Description: partial 16S ribosomal RNA
Rfam family: Bacterial large subunit ribosomal RNA
Source: RNAcentral
UAGAGAAGAUAAUGCUAGAAUUAGUAAUAAGAGGGGUACGCCCCUCUCCCAGCACAAUCGUGAGUCAAACAGGACCAACCGCUGACAACUAACGGACCCAAAAGAGGGCACAACAGCUAAACGUAACACAUCAAGAAAACCCUGUCCCCCUCCCCCGUCAACCCGACACAGGAGUGCGCCUAGGAAAGACCUAAAGGGGGAGAAGGAACUCGGCAAACCUAAACCCCGCCUGUUUACCAAAAACAUCGCCUCUUGCUAACAACGAAGUAUUAGAGGUCCCGCCUGCCCUGUGACAGCAGUGUUUAACGGCCGCGGUAUUUUAACCGCGCGAAGGUAGCGUAAUCACUUGUCUUUUAAAUGGAGACCUGUAUGAAUGGCAUAACGAGGGUUUAACUGUCUCCUCCCCCCAGUCAAUGAAAUUGAUCUGCCCGUGCAGAAGCGGGCAUGCCAACAUAAGACGAGAAGACCCUAUGGAGCUUUAGGCAAAUGAUCAAGCACAACAAACCCCGUUUUUAACCAAGCCCCGGGGGAAACAAAAGCCGAUGAUCAAGAUGCCUUCGGUUGGGGCGACCUUGGAGAAAAAAUAAGCCUCCAAGUGGAAUGGGAAAACCCUUAAACUAAGAGAAACAGCUCGAAGUACCAGAAAUUCUGACCAAACAUGACCCAGGUUUCACCUGAUCAACGAACUGAGUUACCCUAGGGAUAACAGCGCAAUCCUCUCCCAGAGUCCAUAUCGACGAGGGGGUUUACGACCUCGAUGUUGGAUCAGGACAUCCUAAUGGUGCAGCCGCUAUUAAGGGCUCGUUUGUUCAACGAUUAACAGUCCUACGUGAUCUGAGUUCAGACCGGAGCAAUCCAGGUCGGUUUCUAUCUAUGUCCUAGCCUGCCCCUAGUACGAAAGGACCGGAGUAGGGGGGCCCACGAGGAAGUAAGCCCCACCCCUAUCCGCUGAAAAUAUAUAAAGCGA